AACGAACGCUGGCGGCGUGCCUAACACAUGCAAGUCGUGCGAGAAAGUUCCUUCGGGAGCGAGUAAAGCGGCGCACGGGUGAGUAACACGUAGGUAACCUGCCCCCCAGUCUGGAACAACUAGAGGAAACUCUAGCUAAUGCCGGAUGAGACCACGAUCCCUUCGGGGGGUUGCGGCCAAAGAUGGCCUCUACUUGUAAGCUAUCGCUGAGGGAUGGGCCUGCGGGCCAUUAGCUUGUUGGUGAGGUAACGGCUCACCAAGGCUGUGAUGGCUAGCUGGUCUGAGAGGAUGACCAGCCACACUGGGACUGAGACACGGCCCAGACUCCUACGGGAGGCAGCAGUGGGGAAUAUUGGACAAUGGGGGAAACCCUGAUCCAGCCAUGCCGCGUGAGUGAUGAAGGCCCUAGGGUUGUAAAGCUCUUUUGUGCGGGAAGAUAAUGACGGUACCGCAAGAAUAAGCCCCGGCUAACUUCGUGCCAGCAGCCGCGGUAA
This 494-nucleotide ribosomal RNA is filed under the name uncultured bacterium. Its description in RNAcentral is "bacterial SSU rRNA". It matches the Rfam family "Bacterial small subunit ribosomal RNA", at positions 29 to 523 of the family's 1533-position model. The record is from RNAcentral.